This 96-nucleotide non-coding RNA is filed under the name Propithecus coquereli (Coquerel's sifaka). Lineage: Eukaryota; Metazoa; Chordata; Mammalia; Primates; Indriidae. The record is from RNAcentral.
UGACAGUACAUUUGGUAGUGGAUUAUCAAAACUUAUGAAUAUUUGUGUCACUAAAGUUGAUAUACAACCCCCCACUGCUGAAUGUGACUGGCUUAA